RNAcentral lists this ribosomal RNA (342 nucleotides) under Acanthurus leucosternon. RNAcentral describes it as "partial 12S ribosomal RNA". It matches the Rfam family "Bacterial small subunit ribosomal RNA", at positions 1036 to 1527 of the family's 1533-position model. The record is from RNAcentral. Lineage: Eukaryota; Metazoa; Chordata; Actinopteri; Acanthuriformes; Acanthuridae.
GCCUAUAUACUCACCGUCGUCGGCUUACCCUGUGAAGGGCUAAUAGUAAGCAAAACUGGCAAAGCCCAAAACGUCAGGUCGAGGUGUAGCGCAUGGAAGGGGAAGAAAUGGGCUACAUUCACUAAUCCAGUGCACACGAAUGACACCCUGAAACACGUGUCUGAAGGAGGAUUUAGCAGUAAGUAGAAAAUAGAGUGUUCUGCUGAAACUGGCCCUGAAGCGCGCACACACCGCCCGUCACUCUCCCCGAGCUAAGACUAUCAAGUAAAUAAACAACUAUAACUGCAAAGGGGAGGCAAGUCGUAACAUGGUAAGUGUACCGGAAGGUGCACUUGGAAAAAC